AUCCAACUAAAAUAACCCCCCCUGUAAAAACCACCUCCUCCUCCUUCAACCUAACCUAAUGUUAUAAUCUACACCUCAAUUCAGAAACUGAAGCCCACCCUUAACCCCAUUCAAUAUUUCGUCCAUUCCAAUCACCCCAUUCAAUUGUUUUGUACGUUACUCAGGGAAAAGCAUCCCAAUCACAAGGUUCAAUUCUUUCAAACUCCAUCCUUCAUUGAUUACAGAUGAUUCAAAUCGAAAAUUGAAGGCCACUCAAUAAUUGACGCAACUAAUUGAAUUCCCAGCAUCGUUUGGAAACCCACAACUAUUUAAAAUGGACCCCUCACAUCAAUUGUUUGCUCAUUUGCAAUUUCAAUUCCAUAUUCUCAGGUCCGUGCAGGAUUCUCGCUUCACACUGCCGCGUCCGGAAUCCCCGUUUAUCAGGAACCAACGAACAAUGGAAGGAACAACUAACCAACCGAAGCCAACACACCCGGAAACGGCCCCAGCAGUCAAGCAUAAUAAGAAAAGGAAAACACCAUCUGUAACAAAACCAUCGCUCAGUGAGUAUGACCCGCAAGCGGAUUCCCCGGCAAAGCACGUUAAACCAACCCCAUCAGCAACGUCCAUGAACAACCCAACACAACUGACAAACAAGAAACAGGGGGCUAUCGCUACAACCUCUGAACCGGAAAACAAACGCAUAGACCAAGAAAAAAACAACGACGAUUGGGAAGAUGAUGAAUGGUGGUCAACCAAUAUACACGACAUCAUCGCCGCAUGCACCCCUCAUGACACCAAUUGAACAACCUCUGUAUGAAUACGUCCUAAGGCUUUAAAGACGUCUACUGUAACUCAGUACUUAAUAACUCAAUAAGGCGCACUUGCAGCCAGCCUACCCACGAUGCCUAGGUUACCUACCGACGUGAUAAUUUCAGACAUACUAACAAGGGUCCCGGCCAAGACUGCCGCACGAUCUAAAAGUGUCUGCAAGGAAUGGCGUGCACUACUAUCCACGCGCGACUUUGAAAAAGCUCUCGCAGACGGGUCAGUGUGCAUCACUGACAAUGGACGUGGGGUAUGAACUUAUAUACAUAACUUAAAAGCGGUUGCUAUAUAGUGAGCAUAAUGGAGAAACAAGUAAAAUGUUUUGAAUUUUAAAAUGAUUUGAUUUUGUGCAAUGUCUAAACCCUGUUCAUACCCAUUAACAACAUCCCAUAAAUCGAAAAAGAAUCCCAGAACAACAAGGCCGAUGAGUUGGGGCAGGGGUGAAAACCCUACCCAAUUCCAUGAUGGGUUCGGUGUUAAAUAAUUGCAUGAAUGAAACGUAUGGGGUAAUUGUACCAGUGGGCUACAACCCACAUGCCUUCUUUAAAGUUAAGUAUUUUAAUAUAAAAAUUAGAGUAAACCAAAGGGACCAUUUAUGAAGUUUACAACAAUUACUUUGUGACUUUUUCAUGUAUGUUCUACAAGUUUUGAGACUUUUAUAUCCUAAAAUUAGGUUAUACGAACCUUUCUUUGUUACAAAAGUAGUUUGUUAUGUAUGAGUUCCAAAGUCUUUGAACACUUGUGUCUCAUACAAUGCAAUGAAAGUUGCACUUUCCUUUAAAUAAACUAAUAAAAUUCAAUGGCAUCUAAGGGUUUCAGCCAAAUCGUCUCUCUCUAAGAAACCUAAUCGACCUCAUCUUCAACGUUACUUCACUUCAUCUUCCUUCCCGUAACUGUGAAUCAUCAAUCAUCAUGAUGAGAGUAUACGAACCGCUAAGGUAAUCAAUUGUAUUGAAUUGCACCAGCAAUCGUUCUCUUCUCCUCUCUAACAAAAGCAUCCCCAUCAUGAAGAUAACUCACGGUGUUCAGAUCUAGGGUUCCGGCUCUUCCCUGUCUUCUCCGAACUCAGGUUUCUUAAAGCACCUCCAACUCUCAUCAGCUUUCAGAAAUUUCAAGAGAUUUGGUGAUGCUUUUCCUCUUCGGGUCUCGAAUUGCAACCCUGUAAAGACAAAUUACAGGAGAACAAUUGUACUGAGGAUAUUAAUAAGUGAUGAAGUGAUAUUUUGUGUGGGGAUUCAAUGAGAAUUUGGGGAUGUUUGGAUUUGGAUUUUCAACUCUUGUCCUGCUGUUUAUAACCCAAUGCCCAAUGCCCAAUGCCCAAAGCAAAUAAGGAUGAAGUCUGGCUUAUGCAGAUUGCUGGACAUAAGGACCUUCUAGAGGGUGAUUCUUACUUAAAACAAAGAAUUAGAUUGCGAGAUUCGUCUAGCACAACCUUAAAUGUAUUUUAAGCUUAUACCCUAAAGCGAAUGUGUGACCCAAACCAUCAAGGGAGGUAGCAUGACUCUUUGGGAGCUUUAGGUUGACCAUCAAAACCUUUUGUCCAUAAUUUAUUGUUUCAGGAGUAAUUUAUUUUAUUAAAUAAUAUUUAUGGGGGUUUUUAUGCAUUUUGAAAUAGACACUGGAGCGACUUUUGACAUGUAUCAGCAAGAGUUGAGAUGAAGUUAACUUGACUUGUUUUUACUUAACAAUGUAUCAGACUUGAAGGUGUUGUGAAAAAGUGCAGUUUCUUAUGCUCUCAACCACCAACUGAGCCUUGAUGAUUUAACUUAAAUAAUUGAUGAGGAAAAUAUAAAAGUCACAAUGGAAGCUUUCUUGAAUGCUCUUCAUGAAGUUAUUCCUGCUUUUGGUGCUUCAACAGACGAACUUGAACGUUGCAGUGGUAAGACUGCAAUGGCAGCAACUGUUGGUAUUGGUAGCGAUUUCUCCUAUGUGAAGAUUGUAAGUUCUUCUAUAUUUUAACUAUGGGACAAUUCCAUGAUACCCUUCAAUACUUAUCAUAUACCUGUCUAGGGUGGGGUUUGGCUACAAAGUCCAUUUUUUCUACAAAGUGUACAAACUCAUAAAACACCACAAUUUCAGUCAUAAAACACACUCAAAACCUAUAAAUAACAUAGUGAAGAUCACUAAAACACAAUAUCCAAACCCUAACAAUCCAUAAAAACUUCAAACACACCAUUCUAGAACUAUGAAUAUAACACACAACAGGAUAAUCAACAUAAAACACACUAAUAUUAGUCAUUCGAUAAUCAAAGUCUUAUCAUCUAAAACACAACACAAAACCCACAAAUAUGGCGUUUAGUAAUCUUCACUUUGUUAUUUGGGGGGUUUUGAGUUUGUUUUAUGGUUAACAUUAUGGUGUUUUAUGACUUUUUACACUUUAUAGGAAAAAUGGACUUUGUAGCCAACUCCCACCCUACCUGUCUAACAAAAAGUUAUAAUAUCAAAUAUACUCAUUUUCAAAUUUGUGACAUUUAUGAUACUUGUGGCUAUGCUCGUUGAUGGAUGGAUGGACAUCAUCAUACUGGUUCUAAAAUUGGCAAGGUCGGAAACAGAAAUAAAUCAAGAGGAACCCUCAUGUUUAUUGUUUUGGUAUCAUAAUUUACUGAUCAUUUCUCUUUUUUUUUUUACUUUACAAACAUUCAAUUGGUUUUUGACUUGUCAUUUUGUCGUGUGUAAAACGGUCCACGUCACAAGUACUCUUUAUUUGAUAUAUCGAUUAAAUAUUGGGAUGAAUUUUACAUCCUAAAGCA
This is an RNA transcript of Helianthus annuus (common sunflower), 3557 nucleotides long. It is a transcript of the gene named putative F-box protein At3g16210, with no coding region annotated. Lineage: Eukaryota; Viridiplantae; Streptophyta; Magnoliopsida; Asterales; Asteraceae. The transcript is spliced from 11 exons. The record is from RefSeq and is a predicted model, not a curated record.